RNAcentral lists this ribosomal RNA (253 nucleotides) under uncultured bacterium. RNAcentral describes it as "partial 16S ribosomal RNA". It matches the Rfam family "Bacterial small subunit ribosomal RNA", at positions 524 to 776 of the family's 1533-position model. The record is from RNAcentral.
UACGUAGGGUGCAAGCGUUGUCCGGAAUUAUUGGGCGUAAAGAGCUCGUAGGCGGUUUGUCACGUCGGCCGUGAAAACUCGGGGCUCAACCCCGAGCCUGCGGUCGAUACGGGCAGACUAGAGUGCUGUAGGGGAGACUGGACUUCCUGGUGUAGCGGUGAAAUGCGCAGAUAUCAGGAGGAACACCGGUGGCGAAGGCGGGUCUCUGGGCGGUAACUGACGCUGAGGAGCGAAAGCGUGGGGAGCGAACAGG